UGUGGAGGAAAUGAAACCUACAGGGAUUGCUUCAGUAACGGCGAGUGAGGCGGCAACAGCUCAAAUUUGAAAUCCCCCGGGAAUUGUAAUUUGAAGAGAUUUGGGUCCGGCCGGCUGGGGUUAAGUCCACUGGAAAGUGGCGCCACAGAGGGUGACAGCCCCGUGAACCCCUUUAACGCCCUCAUCCCACAUCUCCAAGAGUCGAGUUGUUUGGGAAUGCAGCUCUUAGUGGGUGGUAAAUUCCAUCUAAAGCUAAAUACCGGCGAGAGACCGAUAGCGAACAAGUACAGUGAUGGAAAGAUGAAAAGCACUUUGAAAAGAGAGUGAAAAAGUACGUGAAAUUGUUGAAAGGGAAGGGCUUGCAAGCAGACACUUAACUGGGCCAGCAUCGGGGCGGCGGGAAGCAAAACCACCGGGGAAUGUACCUUUCGAGGAUUAUAACCCCGGCCCUUACUCCCUUGCUGCCCCGAGGCCUGCA
This 478-nucleotide ribosomal RNA is filed under the name Metschnikowia sp. (in: budding yeasts & allies). RNAcentral describes it as "eukaryotic LSU rRNA". It matches the Rfam family "Eukaryotic large subunit ribosomal RNA", at positions 49 to 507 of the family's 3401-position model. The record is from RNAcentral. Lineage: Eukaryota; Fungi; Ascomycota; Pichiomycetes; Serinales; Metschnikowiaceae.